GAAGGGAGCGACCACUUCUUUGUUUUUAAAGAGACCCAGGCUAUUUAAUUAAAAACGAAGUUGUUCUGUCUUUUAUUAAACGAACAAUAACAACUAGGGUUUUAAAGCAGAGCAUCUGAGAGCAUUAGACUAGGGUUUUUCUUCUUCAACUUCAACUUCAACUUCAAGUUUUCAACAGCAACAAGUAUGUUCUGAUUUUCUCUUUUUCUUUCACUAUUUCAACGUCCAAAUAGCAGCGAAAUGUUGGCGAAAUUUUUUUUUACCUUCGGUUCUUUCUCAGAAUUGAUGCCAAUCCUUGGGUUCUUCUUUCUCUGCCCAGUUUUUAACAGAGAAAAACUGCCCUUCCUCUAAUUUUUAUAUCCUUUACAUUGAAGUAUUGAACAUUUGCUUACAAUUACAUGUGUUGUCUAUGUAGUAUUUAUUUUAAUUUUUUUUAAAAUUCCAUUUCACUUCAAAAAAGCGAGCGCUUCGCUUCUCGCUUUAAGCGAAAUGAGGGUUGACGUUUUUCCUCGCUUCACGCUCUUCACAACACUGAAAAUCAUAAACAAUCCAAAGGUAAAUUUUCUUAAAAACUUUCACGAGUAUUUUAUCAAAAGGUAAUAUAAGCAUACAACUUCUUUUUUUAUUUUCAUCUACAUGAAAAAAACUAUACUGUUUUCAAUUAAUUAUUUUCCAAAUCCAAACGCCAGAGAUAAUUAUAAGAAGAAAUUAAGCAAGAAGCGGAUUAAUAAUAUUCUGGAAAAGGAAGAUUUAGCAUGCAACUGAUGGUUGGCAGAAGGCAUCAGUAUAUAUUCCUUUGCUUGGGUGUAAUAUUUUUUCUAAAGCAGGAGAAGAACAGUAAUAAAAAUAGAAAAAAGGGGGAAAAGAGAAAAAAUAUUCUUUGUAUUGGCUUGAGUAAUAACAUGGAAUAGUAGUGUUUGCCUAAAAUAGGUACAUUAAGCUAAAUUUACGAAUAAGGAAGAAUAAAAUUGGUUUAGCAUAUUAGAAUGUAGGGAUUUUCAUCUCAAGCUGUGGCAUCAAUAACUUUGGCAAAAUAAAUACAUUUUGCUAAAAAUAUGAUACUUCUUAAUUAGAAGAUAGAGUUUCAUGUUGCAGAACAAAGUUAUCCCAAUGUCAUCUAAUGAAAUUCGAUCAUUUUGCUGUUAAAUGUGUGAUUAUCUCAUCUAAAAGUUAAAGCGAUCAGAGAAAGCACACUUAUAUUUACUUAAUUAUAUCUUCAACACACUCGCUCCUUGUGCGGAUUUAAUUUAAUUAUUUUCAUGAGCGAAGCAUGUGAAAAUUCUUUUUUAAGACUCAACUCUGAAACCUUUGGUUACUCUAAUACAAUAUUGAAUUGUGUGAUCAUAUCAUCUAAAAAUUCAACACAUUUUUUGGAAUCUUAUAAGUCUUAUAAUUUCUCAUGAUCAAUUAAAGCAAGUAAAAGGCGACCGAUGCACAAGACAUCCCGCGUUCAUAAGAGAUAAUGCUAAUACGCUGGGUCCGAAAAAAGACCGCAACCCAAGAGAUAUGAUGCAGAUAGGUUAUGCUAAUGCAAAUACUAAUUGCUGCUUUCACGGCUCGAUCUCGUAUCAACUAAAGCAAGUAACGUUAAUAAAGUGUCAAAGUUUGUCCAAGGUCUCCAAAUCAUCAUUUAGCAUAGCUUCACAAUAAUCACCAUUUGAUGUGUCAAAUCAACUGAACCAAUUUGACAGACAAGAAAGGCAUUGAAAUGAAGGAUAUUGAAAUAUUAUAUGGGACCCUCAAUAUUAGGUAAUUUGAUGUGUUAAAUCAUUUAAAUCACAAUACACAAACAAAAAGUAGUCCUAUGCUUACGUCCAAAACAUCAUGUUAAAAAUUCGGUUCUAUGCCUAUUCUUUCUUUUUUCCUUCUAAUUUUGUUAUCCUUUUAGUCUCUACCAUCCACUUAACUCUCUCAAAAUUCUAUAUAUACUUUCACUCACUUACAUGUACUAGCAACCUCUUAACUUAAAUAGUUUUGAGAAUACUCAUUUCUCCCCUUUCCCUUCGUUUUCUUCAAAUCUUUAAUUCAAGCAAUUACCUUUGAGUCACUAAUAAUGGCAUGCUUGAAACUCUCCAAAGAAGUUAGUACUCACCAUCUUUUUUUUUUCUUGAUAUAUUUUUAGAAAGAUUGUUAGUUGUAUACUAUAAGUUUGAGUCUUAUAUCUUAUUCGCGAGAAUUUCUAUUUUCCGAUAUUGUUUGUUCUUUAAAUGGCUAAACACACCUAUCUCACAAAUAGAGCCCAAAAAAAGAUCAUUUGUUCUUUCUACUUCUUAGUGCCUACCACUUACCAAUCUUUGGUUCUUUUCUUGAAGACAGAAGGGUAAAUGAAGUGCAUAUCCAUUUCUUCUAUGCAAAUGUUUUCUCAUGCAAAGAACUGUAUAUAAAUAUAAAUUUAACUUAUAUACACUGUCCGUAUAAAUAAUAUUUACUUUAUUACAUUUUAAUAUAUUAUAGUACGUAACUUACUUUAUUUUUCAGGUUACUAGCUAAUGUCACUUUUAUAGAAAGUUAUUCGUGUUAUUUUUUAAGGGACUUUACGGUACAAAAAUUGUCAAUAUGUAAAAGUUAAACUUAAUUAAUAUAAAUAAAUGAUCUAACACUUCAUUAGAGUUCACUAAAUUUACUAUAUAUUUUUUUCUUUUGUCUUUUAGGUGAAAAUGAUGAAAGGGGAAGNNNNNNNNNNNNNNNNNNNNNNNNNCCCCACACACACACACACAGAAAUUAAUCAUAUAUUAAAAGUCUUAUAAUUUAUCUCUGAAAAAAGAAAAGGACAUAAAAUUAUGAUAUCUGCAUCUGCUUAUCUCUCUUUUGAGUUAUAUCCAGAUUAAGAGUAUUAUUAUUAUUUAUGAUAAGUCACAGUUUUUAUACAUGGUAUAUACUGUUAGAAUCUACAUCAAUUAAGUGAAUGGGUCAUAAUCUGCCUAUAUAGUUUGAAUAACUUCACCACGAGUGAAGUACACGAACAAUCUUUGGUUUGUUAUUUAGGAAUUAGUCAAUACUUAUUUUAUUCUGAAAAUUUGAAAUAAAAAUCUUAAUUUUGGAAUAAUUCAGAACAUUUAUAUUAUAAAAAUUUAAACUGAAAAAUUAAAAUUCAGAACACAUUGACUAAUUCCUAAAUAUCAGCCCUUUAGAGUAACUACCUGGAGAUAUUUCUACCUUCACCACGUAGAUAUUCGACUAUCCAAUAUAGAGAUAUUCGGGUUAUAUUAUUCUAGGUUCAAGAUAUUCAGUCAUGAGAAUAAAUGUCAGAAUCUUAUGGUAUAAACUACAUCGUUUCAGAUUAUCCUAAUUAAUUCUCAUUUAAUUCUUUGUAAUGGAAAAACAAAUAAAAGAAAGGUUGAUAAUGGUGGAAUAAGGUGAGGUAAUAAACGAAGCCACAUAUCAUUUGUUGGGAAGCUAGAAACUGACAAGAGUGUUAAAAGGCCAAAGCCUAACACUUUUCAGAAUAACAAAGCCGUGUGUCAAAAAAUUCGAGAGCUAUUGAUUUGGCCUAUUUGAUAGCUUUCACAUAUAUACAGGUACAAGGUCUUUAUCAUAUAAAGAACCUAGUGGAAUGUAUGAGAUUCUUUCAUUUAUAAUUAAGGGUUACAAGUUUAAAUACUGAAAAUGAUUUUUUUUUAAAUAAAAAGCAAUUUUUUCCUUUAACACACGGUAUGAAUUAGCUAAAUUUAUAGGUAACAAAUAUCAAAUGAUUGUACGAAAAUUUUCCAAAAAAUAUAAAUAGGUACAUUUGGCUCCUCCUAAUGGGUAGGGUUUUUGUCUAUAAUAGCAAAUUUUUUGUGGAAGACGAGGAGGGAUAAAGAAGUGACGAGAAAAGCAUGCACUAUUGGGAAAAGACAUCUUUGACACAUACCUAGGAAAUGAAGUGGUGGGGUUACCACGUCAUCCUUGACAAACUCUGAUACUUGGUGGGUGGGUGGGUGGGGCAAUUAUGUGAUCUGGACAAUCAAUUAUCCCUAACUUUUUGCCUUCUCAUAUACUCUCCCCCGUCAAUAAAUGUUUUUGUUUUUUUUCACAUAUAUUAAAAAAUUCACCUUUUAACAUUAAUUAUCAAUGAAGUUGAUUAUAUUAACAUUUACUAUCUCUUCAUAUAAACACUUCUAACACAUACUCCUACAUUAUUUUACUCCAAGGGCAAUAUAGGAAAAAAAUAAUUAAUUCAUUCUUGAAAUCUUAAAAAAUCACUUAUUUUAGACCACAAAAAAAAAAGCCAAAAAAUCACUUAUUUUGAACCGGAAGGACUAUUUAUUUAUAGCCCGUUUGGCCAAGCUUUUUUUUGAGCUAAAGUGUUUUUUUGGUCAAAGAUUGAAGCUACUCAAAAGUGUUUUUCAAAUUAACUAGUCAAACACAAACUGCUUCUCACCAAAAAAAAAAUACUUUUGAGUCUGAGAAAAGCCCUUCUCAAAAUAAGCUAAUUUUAAAAGUUUGAUCAAACAGACUAUUUAUACAAUGUACUAGGAUGUAUAUACGACUCCUUUAGAUCAUAAGAUGAUAAAAAGUAAGAAAACGAUUUUUACAAUAUCAAUAAUUCGGACAGGUGAAUAGGAUAGGUUAUGAUGCUCCAUACUCAAAUAGUGGAGAUUUACUAAAAAGUAUUGCAUAAAACAUCAAGCAACUCUACUUACUAGAAUUAAAAUUAAUUUUCAUUGCGAUUCCACGACCUACUCUUUGGUGCUUUUUGUUUCUCUAAUAAAGGAAGCUCAAUACUUAGGCUUUUACAAAAAGAAUGACGGACAUGGAGUCCGAUCGUCAAGUCAUAUAUUUUUUUUUGUGAAUUUAGACGUUGAUUUCUUAAUAUUCUUGUAAUAAUAAGUAUUAUAAAUCAUAAUAUUUAUAGUUAAAAAAAAUAUUUUAAAAAUCGUAAUCAAAGAAAAUAUUAAUUGAUAGAAACAAGGGCAAAGUUAGUUUAUUGCUUACGGUUCAGCAUAACCUUUUAGCUUAGCAUUUUAUAUUUGUGUUAAAGAAUCCACUUAAUAUGUACAAAUAAUUUAUUAACUACUUAGUAAACCGCCCUUUUUAAACUCCAAAACCCAUAAACUCAAAAUUCUAGCUCUGACUCUAAAUAAAACUUAAUAGAAAAAGGGGACAGAUGAGGAUUUAUAUUCACCCACCAGAUAAGGGUGCUGAUGGGUGUGUGGUAGUCUGGUAGAGAUGGUGUAUUUACUUGCAAAACAAAAUUGCAAGAGUUUCGAAGAUAGUAUAGAGAAUUUGUUUCACGUCAUCUCCAACCCUUGCCUCCAUUUUCUCCUCCAAAAUGGAGUAAAGUUACUCCAACCAUUACUCUAUUCUUUGCUCCAAAAAAGAAUAUUCUAUUUUAUAUUCUUCUCUCUCUUCAACAUUAUUUUAUUAUCUUUUUGUUUAAAUUUUAUUUUCUUAUUCUAUUAAAGAAAUUCUAUCUUUUUUUUUUUUCCAUAUUCAUCACAUAUAAUUUAUAUUCCUUUCUUACAUUAUAAUAAAAUUCAGAUUAACUACUACAUAAAUAUUCAACUUCCACCUCUCUCUAUAUGCUCCCAUAAUUGAUCUAUUAAUGCAUUACGAAGUACAAUUUUAAUGUAUUUUCAAUUUUCACUUUUCAAUUUUAGCAACAUCUAAUAUUUUAUAUUCGCACCUUUCAAUUUUAGCAACAUUUAUAACUUGUUUGGCCAAGCUUCUCAAGAGGCCAAAAGUGCUUUUUUUCUCAAAAACACUUUUUUUUCCUAACUUGAGGUGUUUGGCCAAGCUUUUUUGGGGGAAAACAUAUUUUUGGGAAGAAGCAUAAACAGUUCCUGAGAAGCAGAAAAAAGUAAUUUCUUCCCAAAAGCAGAAGUAGAAACAGUUUUGACUUUUCUUCUUACCAAAAAUACCCUUAACAAAAUAUAGUAUAUACUAAAAUAACCGUUAAACCUAAUACUUAGGAUAUUAAUGUAUAAAUAUUUUUUAUUAUUUUUAGGAUAGCUUUCUAAUAUAUAGUGACUUUAGGGGUGAAUGCUUUUAUAUUUAUUGAAUGAUUUUUUAUAUAUUUAACUUAUAUUAAAAGAAUUAAAUACUUUUAAAUUUUAUUUUCAUAUUUUACUUAAAUAAAAUAAAAAGAUUUAAUUAUUGCCUGUAAUAAUAAAUUUUUAAGAUUAUUUAUUUACUUAUAAUAUUAACUAUUAAGUAAAUAUAUUCAUGUCCUUAUUCGUAACUUAAUACUUAAAAGCACUUUCUGAAAAAUUUGGCCAAACACAAAUUAUUGCUCAAAAGUAUUUUUCAGAGUGAUUAGCCAAACACAUAUUGCUUCUCUCAGAAAGUACUUUUUUCAAAAACACUUCUCAAAAUAAGCUGAUUUCUUCAGCUUGGCCAAACAAGCUAUUAAUAUUUUAUAUUUGCACCAUUCAUUUUUUGAGAUGAUUAUAUAUUUUUGUACAAUUAUAACUUAUAAUAAAUUAACUUACAAUUUUACAUAAAAAUAAUAAAUGCACGAAAAUUAAUUUAUCAAAAUUAUACGCCAAAGUUAAGAUAUAAAAUUAAUAUUAUAAAGAUAUUAUAUAAAUAUAAUUAGGUAUAUAUAAAGAGAUAAAUUAAAAGAAUUAAAUAAUAAAAAUAAUAAUAAAGUAAUAGGGAAUAGUAAUGGAGGAUGAAUAGUGUCACUCCAAAUACUAUUCACCCCCAUUUUGGCUAAGCCAAAUUUCUCCAAAAACUGACUGCAUUAUGACAAAAUGCAGCAGCGUUGGAGAUGGCCUCAACAUCGAGAAAUUGUCAUUUUGCAUUUAACUAGGAAUUCUUGGGUUCAUUCAAGAAAUAAUGAAGUGUCAAAUCUAACAGGUAACCUAUCAGUCCAACUUUAGAUAUUGAUUGCUUGCUAAAAGUUCACUUGACAAGCCAACCUUCUAGUCUAGCACAUGAUAAUAACCAAGAAAGCAAGUCCUAUCAUGGGGUGAUUGAUAUGAUAUAGUGGUUACUAUUUAGGUGUGGUCAGUUUCAUUAUGUCUUAAUUAAGAACUUCUAUUCCCACUCAAUUCCAGAAAUGGACUUAACGAUAAAGAAAAAGAAGAAAAUAAAAGCAGAACUCGUUGCGAAAAUAACAAAGGGUGUCUCCAUAAAUUGAUAUCUGAUGCAAUCAAUAAAGUUGAACUACGUAAAUACAUACUUUUGAAAAAGGAUAAAUUGACAAUCAAUUUUUCGAAUUGGGUUAGGCUUCUACUAAUGACCAUCAUUUCCUUAAGUGCACACUUAUCACAUAUGUUAAUCACUAUUUCAAGCCAGAAAAUUCAACUAUCAAUUUCACUACAACUUAAUUCUUUUGUUUAAUUGAUAUAUAGUUUUGGUUUCCAUAUUGAUUAUGUAGUGAAUCAAGCUUUAGCAACUCUAGCAUUUUUUGGAGUUGGAGUGAAUUUGGUGUUGUUCUUGACAAGAGUGCUGAAAGAAAACAAUGCUGAUGCUGCUAAUAGUGUUAGCAAAUGGACUGGCACAGUCUAUAUAUGCUCCCUUGUUGGUGCUUUUCUUAGUGACUCUUACUGGGGAAGAUUCAAAACAUGUGCCAUUUUUCAAGUCAUCUAUGUAACUGUAAGUAUCCAUUACCUCCUAUCAUACUUCUGUACAUAUUGAAAAACCAAUCAAGAAGAUUUAACAUUGACUACUACCAUCAUCCUGCACUAGCGCGAUUCCUGCUAAUUGUUAGUGUUGAUUGUAAUCAAAGGCUGAUGGAGCCUAUGUUUACUUGGUUAAACUAAACUCGGUAUUUCCGGAACUAUGUGUGUAUAUCUAUACAUAUAUUGAGAAAUACUAAAAUUUCAACAAAAAUUAAAUUCUGAACCCCAUGAUUUCAAAAGUACAAAGGGUCCAAUGCUAAGAACCUUAAAGGCGGAACCUAUCAAGUUUAAAUCUUGAAUUCGUCUCAGAUUGUAAUAGUCCUCGGUCUUGCUCUUACUAAGUUUGGAACAUCAUUGACAGGGAUUGGCAUUACUAGCACUAGCAUCACAACUCUACUUGCUCAAACCUAAAGGUUGUGGGGAUCGAAUGACUCUAUGUGGAGAACAUUCAACCAUGGGGAUUGGUCUAUUCUACAUUUCUGUGUACAUGAUUGCACUAGGAUAUGGAGGUUAUCAGCCAAAUAUUGCUACCUUCGGGGCCGAUCAGUUUGACGAGCAGCAUCCGAGGGAGUCUCAAUCUAAAGUUGCCUUCUUCAGCUACUUCUACUUGUUCAUGAAUCUCGGGUCGCUCUUCUCCAACACCAUUUUGGACUACUUUGAGGAUGAAGGAAUGUGGGCUCUUGGUUUUUGGGCAUCUGCAGCCUCGGCUUUUGCAGCAUUAAUGCUCUUUCUUGGAGGCACUGCAAGGUACAGACACUUCAAGUCUAGUGGCAAUCCUCUAACAAGGUUUGCUCAAGUUUUAGUUGCAGCAACAAAGAAGAGUAGAGUGGAAACACCAGAAAAUGAAGAUGACUUCUACCAAGGGGAAGACGACGACAACACAACUGGUGGUAGAAAAAUGCUACACACCCACGGUUUCAAGUAAGCAGAAAUACACUUAGGAGUUCAAUCCACUAUGUCUACAAAUAUCUCAAAUUUAUGACCUGACUCUGUCAUUCGUUUAUCAUUGAUGACUAGUCUAUUUGCCAUUCUAUAAUGCACUAAACUAGAUUUUUCAUGUUGCAGAUUCUUGGACAGAGCAGCUGUGGUGACAUCAAGGGAACUUGACGACCAGAAGCAGAGCGAUCACAACCCGUGGCGCCUCUGUCCUAUUUCACAAGUUGAGGAGGUUAAAUGCAUUUUGAGACUGCUGCCAAUUUGGCUAUGUACCAUUAUCUACUCUGUAGUUUUCACACAAAUGGCCUCGCUCUUUGUCGAGCAAGGCGAUGCCAUGAAAACUACGAUAGCAAACUUCAGGAUUCCAGCUGCAAGCAUGUCUACCUUUGACAUCCUUAGUGUAGCAGGCGUCAUAUUUCUCAACCGCAGAGUUCUUAAUCCACUAGUCAGUAGGUUUAAAAAGUGCAAGGGUGAUCAUACUGGGCUAACUGAACUUCAAAGGAUGGGUAUUGGACUAGUCAUAGCAGUGAUGGCUAUGCUUUCUGCAGGAAUUGUGGAGUGCUACAGGCUAAAGUAUGCUAGUAAUGACUGCAAAAACUGUGAAGGCUCAAGCUCUCUUAAUAUCUUCUGGCAAGUCCCUCAAUAUGCUUUUAUAGGAGCUUCAGAAGUAUUCAUGUAUGUAGGCCAAUUGGAAUUCUUCAAUGCACAAGCACCCGAUGGACUUAAAAGCUUUGGAAGUGCACUAUGCAUGACAUCGAUAUCAUUAGGGAACUAUGUGAGUAGCUUACUUGUGAGCGUAGUGAUGAAAAUAUCAGCAACUGACAACAUGCCGGGAUGGAUACCAGGAAACCUUAACAAAGGUCAUUUAGACAGAUUCUAUUUUCUAUUAGCUGGUUUGACAUUAAUAGAUUUGGUUGCCUAUAUUGCAUGUGCUAAGUGGUACAAGAAUAUUAAGCAUAGCGAAAAGAUUCAGGAACACGAGGAAGAUGACAAGUGUGAAGUCUAACAUACCUGAUAUGGAUCUUACUUUAGGGAUGUUUGCCAGAGACAUAUAAAUAAGAGGAAGAUAUGCUGUCACUGCAACAUUUUGUCUAGAUUUUCUGCUUGGUAUUUGGAUUUUCUUCCUCUCAACGCUCCAAACUCAGUCAACUCAAAAUACUCAGCUCUGCAGAAUUCUUCAGGGAGCUGAACUCCUCUUAAUGUCUAUGUCAUCCUUUCUCCUUGUUGCUGCAUUUGUUCGCUCUGUCAUAUUAGUUUUACAAUUGACAAGCAUAUUGGAUUGUAAAUGAAUUGGCUUUUCCUGUAACCAAGAAACUGUUGAACAAUAUUGAUGUACCCUAAAAGAUUUGUGUCUGAAAAGAUCUCUUUAUUUAACAUGCAAUUCAGAGCUAGAAAAGCCAGUAUCCACCUUAAUAAAAAAAAAUUGCAUGGUAUGUUUGGGUAAGAUGGACACAAAUACUAUAUCUGUAAAUCCUAUUGCCAACAAAGUGCAUAAAGAAAUUCUAUUUGAUUUUCUAAAUGGCUGGAGCAUAAGGUUAGAUGGCUGUACAUAUAGAAAUCUCAAGAGCUCUUUUUUUCAGCAGAAGCAUUUUCAUCACAAAAUAAGUUCCACAAAGAACAUGAAAUUAUUUACUAGUUGCAAAAUAUGACUAUCCCAAGAGGAUUCAUGUCAUCAAACAGAAUGCAUGUUCUGAGGAAAAGAAACACAAGAUUAGAAACUAAACCAAAAAGGCUUUUAUAUUGUUUUGCUUUAUCUAUGAUGUUGAUGUAUUCUUUUCGAGGUCUGGUAAACCAAGAAAAUUGAUAAGGAACUGGGAUGAUGAUGACUAGAAAUGGUGAAAUCUGAACGAUAAUGCAACAUGAAGAUAUUCAACUACAACCUUUCGCCCACAGGAAAGUUAGAAAGAUAAUACAGCAGCAGAAUUACAAGCAAUUUCGGAAAGUAGAGAAUGUGAAGUAUCUUGCCACUGAUUUGUCCAAUGAAGCAUUUAGGGUUCAUGAUUCCCCAGGUCUCUAAAACUUAAUAAGAAAAUAUUCUCACAGCUGAGAAGGAAGCCAAAUUAGACUUGAACCAUGGACAACUGUUUCCACAUUGUAGAAAACACUCUUUGAUGCACCAACCAAAAUGAUAUAACAAUUCUAAGAACAAGACUCUAUAAUCGAAAACUUUCUACUCUUAAGGAAUUUCUAUAUUUCAUCACAGAAGGAAUAAGUUAGAGCUAAAAAGCAACUGUGUUUAGGAAAAAAUGACAAAUGCAGAUUACUCAACCUGAUUUCAAUUUAAAUAAACGGUUACAGCAUAAAUCAACUUUGAACCUUACAAACUUGUGUAUGGUGCAGAUUUUCUACGCCAGUUGGUUGUGCUCCAC
Molecule: long non-coding RNA, 10855 nt
Filed under: Nicotiana tabacum (common tobacco)
Lineage: Eukaryota; Viridiplantae; Streptophyta; Magnoliopsida; Solanales; Solanaceae
Description: long non-coding RNA (NTAB_LNC006534)
Source: RNAcentral